GAGACUGCAAGCGUUAUUCGGAUUCACUGGGCGUAAAGGGUGCGCAGGCGGUUGGGUGUGUCAGAUGUGAAAUCCCGAGGCUUAACCUCGGAACUGCGUCUGAAGCUACUCGACUAGAGUACUGGAGAGGGUAACGGAAUUCACGGUGUAGCAGUGAAAUGCGUAGAUAUCGUGAGGAACACCAGAGGCGAAGGCGGUUACCUGGACAGUUACUGACGCUCAGGCACGAAAGCAUGGGGAGCAAAAGGGAUUAGAUACCCCUGUAGUCCAUGCCCUAAACGGUGCACACUAGGUCUUGGCGGAUUCGACCCCACCAGGGCCCAAGCUAACGCGUUAAGUGUGCCGCCUGAGGACUACGGUCGCAAGACUA
This 370-nucleotide ribosomal RNA is filed under the name uncultured organism. RNAcentral describes it as "bacterial SSU rRNA". It matches the Rfam family "Bacterial small subunit ribosomal RNA", at positions 528 to 896 of the family's 1533-position model. The record is from RNAcentral.